UACGGAGAGUGCAAACGUUGUUCGGAAUCAUUGGGCGUAAAGGGCACGCAGGCUGUGCGUCAGGUCGGAUGUGAAAUCCCGGGGCUCAACCCCGGAAUUGCGUUCGAAACCGGCGUGCUGGAAUCUUGGAGAGGGAAGUGGAAUUUCUAGUGUAGGGGUGAAAUCCGUAGAUAUUAGAAAGAACACCGGUGGCGAAGGCG
Molecule: ribosomal RNA, 200 nt
Filed under: uncultured bacterium
Lineage: Bacteria
Description: partial 16S ribosomal RNA
Rfam family: Bacterial small subunit ribosomal RNA
Source: RNAcentral